RNAcentral lists this ribosomal RNA (748 nucleotides) under Agromyces sp. RNAcentral's name for it is "bacterial SSU rRNA". It matches the Rfam family "Bacterial small subunit ribosomal RNA", at positions 106 to 858 of the family's 1533-position model. The record is from RNAcentral. Lineage: Bacteria; Bacillati; Actinomycetota; Actinomycetes; Micrococcales; Microbacteriaceae.
GUGAGUAACACGUGAGUAACCUGCCCUGGACUCUGGGAUAAGCGUUGGAAACGACGUCUAAUACCGGAUAGGACCCUGGACCGCAUGGUUCGGGGUGGAAAGUUUUUUCGGUCUGGGAUGGACUCGCGGCCUAUCAGCUUGUUGGUGAGGUAAUGGCUCACCAAGGCGUCGACGGGUAGCCGGCCUGAGAGGGUGACCGGCCACACUGGGACUGAGACACGGCCCAGACUCCUACGGGAGGCAGCAGUGGGGAAUAUUGCACAAUGGGCGAAAGCCUGAUGCAGCAACGCCGCGUGCGGGAUGACGGCCUUCGGGUUGUAAACCGCUUUUAGUAAGGAAGAAGGGGAGCUUGCUCCUUGACGGUACUUGCAGAAAAAGGACCGGCUAACUACGUGCCAGCAGCCGCGGUAAUACGUAGGGUCCGAGCGUUGUCCGGAAUUAUUGGGCGUAAAGAGCUCGUAGGCGGUUUGUCGCGUCUGCUGUGAAAUCUGGAGGCUCAACCUCCAGCCUGCAGUGGGUACGGGCAGACUAGAGUGCGGUAGGGGAGAAUGGAAUUCCUGGUGUAGCGGUGGAAUGCGCAGAUAUCAGGAGGAACACCGAUGGCGAAGGCAGUUCUCUGGGCCGUAACUGACGCUGAGGAGCGAAAGCGUGGGGAGCGAACAGGAUUAGAUACCCUGGUAGUCCACGCCGUAAACGUUGGGCGCUAGAUGUGGGGACCUUUCCACGGUUUCCGUGUCGUAGCUAACGC